Molecule: non-coding RNA, 356 nt
Organism: Rhodospirillum centenum SW
Lineage: Bacteria; Pseudomonadati; Pseudomonadota; Alphaproteobacteria; Rhodospirillales; Rhodospirillaceae
Rfam family: Alphaproteobacteria transfer-messenger RNA
About the family: Bacterial tmRNA, also known as 10Sa RNA or SsrA, is named for its dual tRNA and mRNA-like properties. Its role is to liberate the mRNA from a stalled ribosome.
Source: Rfam
GCCCUUUCGUCCCCGGCGCCGAGUGCCUAUAUUGGGGUCGUCGGGUUCGCCCGACUAUGGCGAUAAACGCUAUGCGGAAUAAGCGUUGUGGACCCGGGGGCGGUACCCGGCGCCUCCACCAAUCUCCCCGGACGGCCUUGGCCGGCCGGGACGACGGGGGCGAAACAGGAUCGACACGCGUGGUAAAGGCAUGGUUUUCGCUCGGCAUGGUUCCGCCGUUACCGGGCCAUUUCAUAGGUGCCAACGACAACACGGCGCCUGCCCUUCGCAUGGCUGCCUGAUAGCCCCCUUAAGGGCUGUUAGCAGUUAGCUGAGGACGGGGUUCGGGGGGCACCCGGCAACAGAAGCCCCCCACU